UCUGCGAAAAUAUGUCACUUAUAAUUAUAAAAUAGAUGGUAUAUUAUAAAUUUAAAAAAAAAUAUCCUUCCCAGAGUGAAAACGUCAAACGGACAAUGGGAGGACACAGUCGAUCUCUGUCUUUCUCACGGUGAUUAAGAUGAGAGCAACAAUUACAGAGAUAUUAUACAUAAAUAAGAAAAAGAAAGUACUACUAUAUAAGCAUGAAUUGUCGGUUAUAUGUAUAUAUUUAAACAAUUUAUUCACUUUGCAAAUAAUGUUGUUUACGAUGUAUCGGAAAAAAGAAAAACUAUAUAUCAAUACCUCAAGUGAUAAGUUUGGAAGAAUUUAUUUUUAUCAUAUUUACACGCAAGCACCUUGUUAUCAUACCUUUGACUUUAAACAAACAACAUUCGCUAUCAGUGAGAAUCAGCCAACAAAACUACUAAAAAUUCUAUGAUCUACGAACGAUGACAUAUAGAACACAUUUGAAUGCAUUCUUUUAGGAAGAGACAUUUAAGAGCAUGGUCGGUCAACAGAAUGAGUUUUAGAAGAAAUAUGUAUAUACAUAAAGCUAUGAAAAAGAAUAUUUGACAGAAAGAGAAACGGAAGAUUCUACAGAUCUACAAAAUUAGGAUACCAUAGGAAUGUUCAAUUAUGAUCUAAAAACAAUGAGAAUUACUAAAAAUUUUAUUAUCUAUCCUCUAAUAACGCAAUAUCCACUUACGAAGAUGGCUGCACCCAAGAUUGCUCGCUUUAAAGAAAAACACAGAAGACAGAUUAUACAACUGUCAUAAAAUUUCGUAAACGCUACUAUUAAUUUCAAUAAUGGAAUAGUACACGGUAAUUUAAAAGUUAAGUUAAUUCGUGAUCGGGAUGAAUGAAUUUGUUGCUAUUACAGGUCUCAUGAUUGAUUUUAAGAUUAUUUUAACAAGAUUAACAAUUGUUAAGAGAUGUAAAAUACAAAAAUAUAGAAGGAUAUCAUAUAUGUCAUGAAAUCUGUAUUGCAAGCAUUUGGAAGGUGAUCACAAAUAGUGAGUUUCACACACACAUUGCUUUUACCUGUAAAGAGGAAAUUUAAAAUCUUCGAGUAUAAAUAAUAUUUACUUACUU
Molecule: long non-coding RNA, 1092 nt
Organism: Vespa mandarinia (Asian giant hornet)
Lineage: Eukaryota; Metazoa; Arthropoda; Insecta; Hymenoptera; Vespidae
Source: RefSeq, a predicted model, not a curated record